This 154-nucleotide unclassified non-coding RNA is filed under the name uncultured Microascales. RNAcentral describes it as "sequence contains ITS1". The record is from RNAcentral. Lineage: Eukaryota; Fungi; Ascomycota; Sordariomycetes; Microascales.
ACGAAGUUUUGUCUGAAAAGACAUUCUUUCAACUAAACACCUGUGAAUUAUUUACAUCAUUUUGCUUUGGUCAAAUUUAUUUGGCCAAAAGUUUAAAUUAAAACCUUUUAUUUUAACCUUGAUAGUCUGAAAUUGAAAAUAUUUUAAUUAUUUA